This 77-nucleotide transfer RNA is filed under the name Ferrimonas lipolytica. RNAcentral's name for it is "Ferrimonas sp. S7 tRNA-Ile". It matches the Rfam family "tRNA". Rfam says of the family: Transfer RNA (tRNA) molecules are approximately 80 nucleotides in length. Their secondary structure includes four short double-helical elements and three loops (D, anti-codon, and T loops). Lineage: Bacteria; Pseudomonadati; Pseudomonadota; Gammaproteobacteria; Alteromonadales; Ferrimonadaceae. The record is from RNAcentral.
GGCCCCUUAGCUCAGUUGGUUAGAGCGCGCGACUCAUAAUCGCUCGGUCCACGGUUCAAGUCCGUGAGGGGCCACCA